This 429-nucleotide ribosomal RNA is filed under the name Chloroflexota bacterium. Its description in RNAcentral is "Chloroflexi bacterium partial 16S ribosomal RNA". It matches the Rfam family "Bacterial small subunit ribosomal RNA", at positions 355 to 776 of the family's 1533-position model. RNAcentral also lists the same sequence under 1 other name. Lineage: Bacteria; Bacillati; Chloroflexota. The record is from RNAcentral.
UGGGGAAUAUUGCACAAUGGGCGCAAGCCUGAUGCAGCCAUGCCGCGUGUAUGAAGAAGGCCUUCGGGUUGUAAAGUACUUUCAGCGGGGAGGAAGGGAGUAAAGUUAAUACCUUUGCUCAUUGACGUUACCCGCAGAAGAAGCACCGGCUAACUCCGUGCCAGCAGCCGCGGUAAUACGGAGGGUGCAAGCGUUAAUCGGAAUUACUGGGCGUAAAGCGCACGCAGGCGGUUUGUUAAGUCAGAUGUGAAAUCCCCGGGCUCAACCUGGGAACUGCAUCUGAUACUGGCAAGCUUGAGUCUCGUAGAGGGGGGUAGAAUUCCAGGUGUAGCGGUGAAAUGCGUAGAGAUCUGGAGGAAUACCGGUGGCGAAGGCGGCCCCCUGGACGAAGACUGUCGCUCAGGUGCGAAAGCGUGGGGAGCAAACAGG